GAGGGAAAGGCGAAAAGAACCCCGGCGAGGGGAGUGAAAAAGAACCUGAAACCGUGUACGUACAAGCAGUGGGAGCACCCUUUGGGGUGUGACUGCGUACCUUUUGUAUAAUGGGUCAGCGACUUAUAUUCUGUAGCAAGGUUAACCGUAUAGGGGAGCCGUAGGGAAACCGAGUCUUAACCGGGCGUUAAGUUGCAGGGUAUAGACCCGAAACCCGGUGAUCUAGCCAUGGGCAGGUUGAAGGUUGGGUAACACUAACUGGAGGACCGAACCGACUAAUGUUGAAAAAUUAGCGGAUGACCUGUGGCUGGGGGUGAAAGGCCAAUCAAACCGGGAGAUAGCUGGUUCUCCCCGAAAGCUAUUUAGGUAGCGCCUCGUGAAUUCAUCUCCGGGGGUAGAGCACUGUUUCGGCUAGGGGGCCAUCCCGGCUUACCAACCCGAUGCAAACUGCGAAUACCGGAGAAUGUUAUCACGGGAGACACACGGCGGGUGCUAACGUCCGUCGUGAAGAGGGAAACAACCCAGACCGCCAGCUAAGGUCCCAAAGUCAUGGUUAAGUGGGAAACGAUGUGGGAAGGCCCAGACAGCCAGGAUGUUGGCUUAGAAGCAGCCAUCAUUUAAAGAAAGCGUAAUAGCUCACUGGUCGAGUCGGCCUGCGCGGAAGAUGUAACGGGGCUAAACCAU
This 684-nucleotide ribosomal RNA is filed under the name Salmonella enterica subsp. enterica serovar Hadar. RNAcentral's name for it is "partial 23S ribosomal RNA". It matches the Rfam family "Bacterial large subunit ribosomal RNA", at positions 505 to 1190 of the family's 2925-position model. Lineage: Bacteria; Pseudomonadati; Pseudomonadota; Gammaproteobacteria; Enterobacterales; Enterobacteriaceae. The record is from RNAcentral.